UUUAGAUCUCACAGAAGUGUAUGAUAGAUUUUAGUACAAUCUAUUUUUAUUUGAAAAGGAAUGAAUAUAAAAAAUUAAUUUUCUUCUGUUAUCCUCUAUCCUCGAGGUUUCUAAACAUGGAAAAUAUAUGUAUGCCGAAGAUGCCUUGUGAGCACUACUAAUUUCUAUCCCUGUUGAUUAUACCCAUUUUUAAAGACAAUAAAAUUAAAUUUUUUUAAGUUUUUAGAAAGUUGGUUGGAAAUGUAGACUCUCAGGCUCCAUUCUCUUUCCAGUACCCCAGGAAGGAGAGAGCACCUGGGCUGAAGUAGAUGCAGAAUCAAUGGAGAAGGAAGCAGGCAAGCAGCAGAUCUUGGGCAUUCGAGGCAGCCUGGCCGGACGGCAUCACCACUUCCCCAGGAGCACAUGGGGCCACCAUGGGUUUCUGCUCUGCCAGCCCCAACAGUUCAUCAUGGGGUACCCCCCCAGAUCAGACCAAAAGAGUUCCUAAGCAUUCCACCACAAGACAGAGUGGGGCACAAGAUAGAAAGGGAGUACCAAGAGGAAUAAACUAAUUUGGGAAGUUUCCUGAAAUUUGAAGGAAUAGAGUGUUGAUCACCAAUUUAUUCACACCAUUCCUUUUCAGCUUCUGCCUUAUUUCAUUGGUAAGAGGAUGGAGCACAGAAGAAGGGCCUCAGGAACAAGAACAAAAACUAUUUCCUGGCCCCAAAUUUAUGCUCUUUCCUCUCUGAACCAGUGUGACUUCUUCUAAACAUCUUCUUGACAAGUAGAAAGAACUUCUAGAAAUUUAAAAAAAAAAAGAAGAAGAAGCAAGAAAGAAAAGAUUGAGCUUAAAAUGUAACAGCUUUAGGAAUUUGAACAGCUCCUGCACACUGUAACAUGUUGCCUGGAGGAGGCAGCCCUGUUGGGAAUGAGACGGACUAGGGAUGGGAUACGCCUGACCAGCACCCCACUCCAACCCCUUCUAGUGUCCGAAAUGGUCAUCAAGAGGACACAGACAGACCCUGGCAAUUAGAGGCUCCCCACUUCCUCUCCAGGGCCUGGAAUGUGCAUUCCACUUGACUUCCCCACUUCCAGGAGCUGCCUCAAGGAUGCACCCUUGAGAUAGAAAUGUGGUAUUGAGGCUGUGUGGACUGGGUACAUGACUGAACCCAUUUAAGUCAGGUGUGGAGAGGCCUCAUAAGUUCCCCCAUUCAUUAAAACUGCCACUUACCAAUCUGGAAUGGUCUGCCUCUUUCUUCUGACUCUCCUACCUUCCACAGAUGGGGUCCAGUUUCACACUACACCCAGGAAGCCCUGAGGAGGUUACAAACCAACAAUUUCUAAAGGUUCUCCUUUUGGUAUUCGUAUUCCCCUGGGAGUCUGCUCUUU
Molecule: long non-coding RNA, 1368 nt
Filed under: Mustela putorius furo (domestic ferret)
Lineage: Eukaryota; Metazoa; Chordata; Mammalia; Carnivora; Mustelidae
Description: lncRNA (ENSMPUG00000024682.1)
Source: RNAcentral